Long non-coding RNA from Eufriesea mexicana, 1413 nucleotides. RefSeq lists it as uncharacterized. Lineage: Eukaryota; Metazoa; Arthropoda; Insecta; Hymenoptera; Apidae. The transcript has 3 exons. The record is from RefSeq and is a predicted model, not a curated record.
AGGAAUGGCAUUUGAAGAAAUAAAUUAAAUAGAAGGGCACAGUGUCAAAAAUUCUCUCCUAACCUUAACCUAUAAUCUUACGAAUCUAUGAUCACUAUGCAUCUAUGAAAUUUCUUACAAAAAUUGUAGAAUUUCUUGAAAUUUUGACAAGAACCAACAUGGGAGUUAGACUCGUUAUUCCACAGCAAAGGGACCUUCAACAGCUUCCUGUACAUUAAUCCUCCAUUAAACGGAAGGAAUAUUCAUCGUGAUGCCCAUAUGUGUAUAGUACAGUCCGAACAAGUAUGACUGAAUAAUAAAGAAAAAGAAUUGGGAUAAAAAUGAAAUACAGUCUUACGAAUUUAUGAUCACUAUACAUCUAUGAAAUUUCAUCCAAAAAUUGUAGAAUUUCUUGAAAUUUUGACAAGAACCAACAUGGGAGUUAGACUCGUUAUUCCACAGCAAAGGGACCUUCAACAGCUUCCUGUACAUUAAUCCUCCAUUAAACGGAAGGAAUAUUCAUCGCGAUGCCCAUACGUGUAUAGUACAGUCCGAACAAAUAUGACGGAAUAAUGGAAAUGUUUGUUUUAAUUAGUACGCCGCAGAGAAUACGUCCUGUUUUUAGGUAUGAGAUAUUAAUGAGCGUAUUCGACGAGCGAAAUUGUCGGUGGAGAACUUUUGGCACGAGUUACGGUUUAACGACGCAACUACGUCGAUGUUAACUGCCCUACGCCUCCAUUUCGCUACUUUAUUGCGAUUCUUAUUUAUCUGUCCGUGUUAUUUGUGCCCGGCCUGGCAAUGCCACCCCUGCCGGGAAUCGUGGACGAAAUAGCGCGGGGAAUAAACGCCACUCGAAUGGUUCAGUAUGCAACGACGGGACGGGUAGCUGGAGAUGAAUACGAUCGCGUGUAAAACGUGUCUUCGACGAGAGAGGAGAGAGAGAGAGAAAGAUGGGUGGGAAAAAUGAGUCCGAUCCUGGAAAAUAAUUCAACAACGCGAGAUAUAAAGCGGCGGGAAAAUACGACAAAUGACAGGGAGAGGAAGCGAGCGGCGUAGGCAUGCAAUUCCGUGGAAACACGGACACGAAAUUCCGUGAAACAGGCUGGAAUAGAAACUUAUUAUUCCUUUGGAUCGAGCCCGCACGAAAUUCAUAUGGCACGCCGCGAAAGUGCCGAGAAAUAUUAAGGAGCUCCGAGGAAUAAGCAGCCGGAUUCUAGGUAUACGCACGUACGUGUGAAAGAAUAUGUGCUGAGGAAAGGUUUUAUCCGGCACGGGGAAAUCGAUCAUCCGCCUCAUGGACGUAAUACUAUUGAAAAAUUGCGAUGGAAUCUUUUGUGUGCACGGUAAGAGCGCGGAACAAUCGUAAAUACGAGAGGAAUAAUAAAAACCAGAAGAAAAUUCCGUCUCAUAUCGAUGAGCCUAGUACGAAUAUAG